UGGGGAAUCUUGGACAAUGGGCGCAAGCCUGAUCCAGCCAUGCCGCGUGGAUGAUGAAGGCCUUAGGGUCGUAAAAUCCUUUCGUUGGGGACGAUAAUGACGGUACCCAAAGAAGAAGCUCCGGCUAACUUCGUGCCAGCAGCCGCGGUAAUACGAAGGGGGCUAGCGUUGUUCGGAUUUACUGGGCGUAAAGCGUACGUAGGCGGUGACUCAAGUCAGAGGUGAAAGCCUGGAGCUCAACUCCAGAACUGCCUUUGAAACUAGGUCGCUAGAAUCACGGAGAGGUGAGUGGAAUUCCGAGUGUAGAGGUGAAAUUCGUAGAUAUUCGGAAGAACACCAGUGGCGAAGGCGGCUCACUGGACGUGUAUUGACGCUGAGGUACGAAAGCGUGGGGAGCAAACAGGAUUAGAUACCCAAGUAGUCCCUGAGCGGGCUGGCAAGGCGCAU
Molecule: ribosomal RNA, 447 nt
Filed under: uncultured bacterium
Lineage: Bacteria
Description: bacterial SSU rRNA
Rfam family: Bacterial small subunit ribosomal RNA
Source: RNAcentral